UUAGAGAUAAAUUCUUAGAGACAAAUAGAGAAACUUUCGAACGAAGAUGAAGAAUAAUCGAAUAAGAGGGGGAUAGAUAUUUGGAGUAGAUGAACGACGUCGUCAAACUGUGGAAGAAGAAGAGGGUUCAUCAAUAUUUUUUGCUCCGUUCGUCUCUUUCUCUCUGUCGUACAGAAUGAGGAAGAAGAAGAGGAUAGUUUGGAC
RNAcentral lists this long non-coding RNA (204 nucleotides) under Panax ginseng (ginseng). RNAcentral describes it as "long non-coding RNA (PGIN_LNC001798)". The record is from RNAcentral. Lineage: Eukaryota; Viridiplantae; Streptophyta; Magnoliopsida; Apiales; Araliaceae.